This 406-nucleotide ribosomal RNA is filed under the name uncultured bacterium. RNAcentral describes it as "partial 16S ribosomal RNA". It matches the Rfam family "Bacterial small subunit ribosomal RNA", at positions 29 to 526 of the family's 1533-position model. The record is from RNAcentral.
AUUGAACGCUGGCGGCAGGCCUAACACAUGCAAGUCGAACGAGUGGCGGACGGGUGAGUAAUGUCUGGGAAACUGCCUGAUGGAGGGGGAUAACUACUGGAAACGGUAGCUAAUACCGCAUACCAUCGGAUGUGCCCAGAUGGGAUUAGCUAGUAGGUGGGGUAAAGGCUCACCUAGGCGACGAUCCCUAGCUGGUCUGAGAGGAUGACAAGCAGCACUGGACCUGAGAACAGGCCCAAACUCGUACGGGAGGCAGCAGUGGGGAAGAGUGCAGAAUGGGUGAAAGCCGGAGAAAGCCAUGCGGCGUGGAGGAAGAAGUCGAGCGGGUUGUAAAGUACUUUCAGGGGGGAGGCGUAACCCGAAGAGGAAGCACAGGAAAACUCCGUGACAGCAGCCGCGGUAAUAC